Long non-coding RNA from Choloepus didactylus (southern two-toed sloth), 180 nucleotides. RefSeq lists it as uncharacterized. Lineage: Eukaryota; Metazoa; Chordata; Mammalia; Pilosa; Megalonychidae. The record is from RefSeq and is a predicted model, not a curated record. The transcript has 3 exons.
GACCGGGACACUUGGAAAGCUGCUCCAGAGCUCGUCCUCUCUGAGCGCCUCGGACUCAGUACUGAAGACGCCUAGUCAGCAGAGAUCCGGGAGCAGGGAACUCAUCACCUGCUAUUCAUCUUCCUAAAAAGGAAAGGAACAGAGAGGAGAAUUAACUUGAACCAGAUGAGAAGAAUGAGG